GUUUCCGUAGUGUAGUGGUUAUCACAUGCGUUUUACGCGCGCAAGGUCCCCAGUUCACUCCUGGGCGGGAACA
Dendronephthya gigantea is the source of this 73-nucleotide non-coding RNA. The record is from the annotation of a RefSeq genome assembly. NCBI's taxonomy places the organism in Eukaryota, Metazoa, Cnidaria, Anthozoa, Malacalcyonacea, Nephtheidae.